GGGGAAUAUUGCACAAUGGGCGAAAGCCUGAUGCAGCAACGCCGCGUGAGUGAAGAAGGUUUUCGGAUUGUAAAGCUCUGUCAUCUGGGACGAUAAUGACGGUACCAGAUGAGGAAGCCACGGCUAACUACAUGCCAGCAGCCGCGGUAAUACGUAGGUGGCAAGCGUUGUCCGGAUUUACUGGGCGUAAAGGAUGUGUAGGCGGAUAUUUAAGUGAGAUGUGAAAGACCCGGGCUUAACUUGGGCAGUGCAUUUCAAACUGGAUGUCUGGAGUGCAGGAGAGGAGAACGGAAUUCCUAGUGUAGCGGUGAAAUGCGUAGAGAUUAGGAAGAACACCAGUGGCGAAGGCGGUUCUCUGGACUGUAACUGACGCUGAGGCACGAAAGCGUGGGUAGCAAAC
RNAcentral lists this ribosomal RNA (400 nucleotides) under uncultured bacterium. RNAcentral describes it as "bacterial SSU rRNA". It matches the Rfam family "Bacterial small subunit ribosomal RNA", at positions 356 to 773 of the family's 1533-position model. The record is from RNAcentral.